Molecule: long non-coding RNA, 688 nt
Organism: Populus euphratica (Euphrates poplar)
Lineage: Eukaryota; Viridiplantae; Streptophyta; Magnoliopsida; Malpighiales; Salicaceae
Exons: 2
Source: RefSeq, a predicted model, not a curated record
GCAGCGAAUUGUAGCUUUUCCCAUGGGUGAGAAAUUUGCUUCUCAUUAAGUCAUUUGACAUAAAUACCCUCAUCUCCCCAAAAUCACCGAAAGCAUCCGCAACAAUCUCCCAAAUCUCAGAACGCAUCUGCAGCUGCUAAUCUUUGCACGACCGGUUUGCCAAGGACAAAUAGUACAAGGACAAAUUUGCUAGAAGUCGCGCAGCUGCCAAAAAGGCAUUUGCUUCGGUUGGUUUCUUUCCCAUCAUUGGGCCAUGAUGUCAACAAGCUGAAGCACUAAAACAAACAUCAUAAGAGAAAUCAGUCUUGUGUUGUACGAUUCCCAUCAUCAGGGGUUGAUUCUUGCUAGAUACACAUUUUCAUUUAUUUUUUUUAAGUUUGAGAACCCCAUGUGAACAUUCACUCCCCUGCUAUUAAAUUAAGGAAAACUGAAGAGUGUGAUGAGAAAAAAAAAAAAAAAACUGACAACUUGCAUGAUGAGGCGACGAGGCAUGAGCUAAGAUUAAGAAUGCAGUAGAUUUUCAUUAUGUUUUCCAUGAGAUUUGCUGGAAGGAGAUCUGGGUAAGUUUUCCAUGGAUGUAAGCAUACAAGUGCUUUUCCCAAGAUGCUUUUGCAGUUUGAGUCGACCUUGAUGAGUUGUAUAGAUGAAUUUUUGAGGUAUACAAAUGCACUGGGGCUUUUUCUCUGAA